This 626-nucleotide ribosomal RNA is filed under the name uncultured Tomentella. RNAcentral describes it as "eukaryotic LSU rRNA". The stretch from base 210 to 364 matches the Rfam family "5.8S ribosomal RNA". The record is from RNAcentral. Lineage: Eukaryota; Fungi; Basidiomycota; Agaricomycetes; Thelephorales; Thelephoraceae.
AUUACCGAAUUGUCAGCACGAGUUGUUGCUGGUCCUCAAAUGGGGACAUGUGCACGCUCUGUUUACACAUCCACUCACACCUGUGCACCCUCCAUAGUUCUGCAGCCUGGGGGAACUCUGUUCCCCUGCCGUGGUCCUAUGUAUUUACACACACACACACUGUAGUAAAGUCUCAUGGAAUGCAUACUGCGUUUAACGCGAUAUAAUACAACUUUCAGCAACGGAUCUCUUGGCUCUCGCAUCGAUGAAGAACGCAGCGAAAUGCGAUAAGUAAUGUGAAUUGCAGAAUUCAGUGAAUCAUCGAAUCUUUGAACGCACCUUGCGCCCUUUGGCUAUUCCGAUGGGCAUGCCUGUUUGAGUAUCAUGAACACCUCAACUCUCAUGGCUUUGCCAUGAUGAGCUUGGACUUUGGGGGUCUUGCUGGCCUGUGGUCGGCUCCUCUCAAAUGAAUCAGCUUGCCAGUGUUUGGUGGCAUCACGGGUGUGAUAACUAUCUACGCUUGUGGUUUUCCACCAGGUAACCUUUAGUGAUGAAGGUUCGCUGGGGCUCAUAAAUGUCUCUCCUCAGCGAGGACAGCUCUUUGAAUGUUUGAUCUCAAAUCAGGUAGGACUACCCGCUGAACUUAA